Molecule: ribosomal RNA, 505 nt
Filed under: uncultured bacterium
Lineage: Bacteria
Description: bacterial SSU rRNA
Rfam family: Bacterial small subunit ribosomal RNA
Source: RNAcentral
GGUUCAGGAUGAACGCUAGCGACAGGCUUAACACAUGCAAGUCGAGGGGCAGCAUAAAAGUAGCAAUACUUGGUGGCGACCGGCGCACGGGUGAGUAACGCGUAUGCAACCUACCUAUCAGAGGGGAAUAACCCGGCGAAAGUCGGACUAAUACCGCAUAAAACAGGGGCACCGCAUGGUGAUAUUUGUUAAAGAAAUUCGCUGAUAGAUGGGCAUGCGUUCCAUUAGGUAGUUGGUGAGGUAACGGCUCACCAAGCCGACGAUGGAUAGGGGAACUGAGAGGUUGGUCCCCCACACUGGUACUGAGACACGGACCAGACUCCUACGGGAGGCAGCAGUGAGGAAUAUUGGUCAAUGGGCGGGAGCCUGAACCAGCCAAGUCCGCGUGAAGGAAGAAGGAUCUAUGGUUCGUAAACUUCUUUUGCAGGGAAAUAAAGUGCAGGACGUGUCCUGUUUUGUAUGUACCCUGAGAAUAAGGAUCGGCUAACUCCGUGCCAGCCGCGGC